RNAcentral lists this RNase P RNA (306 nucleotides) under bovine gut metagenome. Its description in RNAcentral is "Bacterial RNase P class A". It matches the Rfam family "Bacterial RNase P class A". Rfam says of the family: Ribonuclease P (RNase P) is a ubiquitous endoribonuclease, found in archaea, bacteria and eukarya as well as chloroplasts and mitochondria. Its best characterised activity is the generation of mature 5'-ends of tRNAs by cleaving the 5'-leader elements of precursor-tRNAs. Cellular RNase Ps are ribonucleoproteins. The record is from RNAcentral.
GAGUGGUCGCUUUCAAAUGAAAGAGGAAAGUCCGGGCUCCAUAGAGCAAAGAUGCCAGAUAACAUCUGGACCUCGUGAGAGGCUGACAAGUGCAACAGAAAAAAUACCGCGAAUUUCGUAAGGGUGAAAAGGCAGUGUAAGAGACUACCGGAUAUAUAGUAAUAUAUAUUGCAAUGUAAACUCCAUCUGGAGCAAGAAGAAAAUGUCCAAAGUGUUGCUCGCACAGGACAAGGUAUUCGCUAAAGAAUUAUAGUGAUAUAAUUUUUAGAUAGAUGACCACAUAAACAUAACCCGGCUUAUAGCAGU